CCUGCUUUUGAAAUCCCCCAACAUGUGUGUAUGUGUGUUCUCCUGUUUUCUUAAAGCCUCCCUGAUGGCAGGGGACAAGUGGCUGCUAGACAAGCCUGGUAGGGGCCAGGGUGUGGAAAGCCCAUUCCCCCCCUACUCAUGGACCACCAUAGUUCCCUUGUGAUGGGCUGUUUAGGGGGUUUCCAGAUUUCUGUCAGGGAACACCCUGCGUGGAUGUCUUAGCUGCAUCCCUGGUUCCUUCCUUAGGACAGAUUCUGGGACUGGGGUUGCUGAGACCAGUAUAGACACUGAGAGGCUCCGGACACCGCCCCACAUCCUCCCCACAGCUGCUCUCCAGCCCCACUCCCACUGGCAGCCUGGACUUCUCAGCUUGGCAGAAAGCCGGGGGCAGUAUUCCACCUCCUCCAGAGAAAAGCCUUGUCUACACCCAAGGCCUCACUGAUUCCAUCCAACGCUGAAAAUACCCAUUUACUCAGCUAUUUCUCCACGUUAUGGUCUAAGGCCCAGAUGCUUAGUUCCAACCAAAAUAGCCACAGAGGUCACUGUGGUCUGAGGGUCCUCUGGACCUCAGGCCUGUGUAGACAUCAUACUUGGUAAUAAUUAACCCACGGAGCUCACCACGUGCCAGACCCUCUGCGUCUCUGUGUGUCCUCACGGUAACCCUGAAGCUAGGGAUGGCUGUCUCCCAUCUUACAGGUGAGAACACUGAGGGUGCUCCAGAGAGCUGUGGGCCCUAGGCCUUGUCACCUGGGGGUGCAAAGGCGCUGCCCCAGUAGUCCGGCUGCCUGCUACCUGGCUGCCUGCUACCCAAUGGGGCAAAGUCCCAGCACUACCCCGAAACAAGGACAAGCUUUGGCCUAGAAGCUGGGCAGCCAGGUCCUGUGCCUGUUUUUUCUCCAUAUGUGCCCUGGGCAGCUCACCCUCUCCGUCUGUGAAAUGGGAGAGCAGGGAGUCAGAGACAGCCUCCUAGGCCUGUGGCGGCUCUGAGCACAGUGGGUGCAGAUACUCAGUGCUGAGUCAAAGAGAGAGAGAACCCUGCCAGAUGGGCCAGCUCACCACAAGCAGCCAAGCCCGGUCUUUGAGGGGUUGGAGUGGGCAGGCCUUUGACCAAGGCUGAGCUAGGAGGGACCUGACGGCCCCAGAUGGAGGCUGGCCCACCCUGCCCCAGCAGAUGGGAGGCUAUUUUUUAACCCCACAGGAAGAAGAGGACAGAAAUGAUUGCAGGGGGUUAACCUAGGCCCCUGGGGACGCUCCCUGUUUGCAUCCUCCUUUCCCCACAACCCAGAGAGCUAUGUGGGCUUCACCUGGAGUUCCCUGAAUCCUUCUGGAGCUCCCCGCAGAUCACAGCCGGAGCUGGCAGGGCCUGAGUGGCCCCUGUCUGCCAGGCGAGGGACCCAGAGCCCAGAGAAGUUUGACCAGGACUGGCUUCCUCUGCCCUCUCUGCUGUGUGCUUCCACCAGUGAGAAGGGCUGAAUAUCACCUGUGAGCCUGCCCCUGCUCCCAAGAACACCCUUUGGACACCUGUGGGCUCUGCAAGGUUGGUGUAACCCCUACAGAUGAGGAAACCAGAGACAGAGAAGUGAAGUAACUCAUGCAGGUGACGGCAGAGGGCAGAGUCAGGACUUGAACCUGGAGAGCCUGGCUCUAAAGCCCAAGCUGGAAUCUCGAUACUCUACACCUCGAUAAGUUUUUGGGAAAUGACUGACUAAACAGAUGAACGCGUUUGCCCCCCCGCCGCCCCAGAGCCCCCUUAAAGCCUACAUGUGGCAGUUUGGGCCCAUUUCCUUGGCUUCCCUCCCUGGAGGGGCACCCACUGCCAGUGUCCCUGCUGAAAUUUAGCAUCAUAUUCCAUGGCGAUUUUCCACCAGUGGAAAUCACAGGUGUUCUCUGGUAUCACAGCGGGGUCAGGGAUGACCUGAAAUAUUGUUCAUGCUCAUCACAACUGCAUGGCCCACCGCGGGGUCUUGUCACUCAGUGAGUUCUUGAAGAGGCACAGACAAAUGGAGUUCAACAAAUGGAAAACAACUGCCUUUAAUUAGCUCCGAGGACUACAAAGGGAACAACGUUAUAAUAGCAGCAACUCCAAGGAAGCAGCCACAGCUCUCAGCUCUCAGACCUGGGGCUGCCGCUCAUCAUCAGCUACAGCUAGGUUUGAUGGGAGUGCCCCCAUUUCAGGGGACAGCAGGCCCCCUUCACUCCCCGACUCAGUCCCCAUCUGCAGCAGCACAGCCUUCCUUGGCCUCACCAGGGAAGAAGAACAGGCCCCGCUCUCAGACAAGCCUUCCCAGAAGCCUGAGGACUCAAACACCCAAAUGUGUCUGGGUCCCUGCCCCGAGCCGGCCACCCAGGCAGCAGCCCUGAAUCACUCGGUCAGCCAGCGGCAGGGCAGGCCAAUGGGCUGGAGGGUAGGCAGGCAGGCAGACCCACCUCUGCAUCUCUGCUGACUGCCUCGGCUGAGGAAAGGCAGCACCAGCCCCCAACCCUGAAGUUCUAGAUCUCAUGCAGCCUCUCUGUUCUGGAACCAUCCAGAGGCACUGCCCUUAUACAUGGUCCACCCCCAGGCUCAGACAAUGAGAAUUCCACAAGCAGAGGGGACUCUAUUUGGGGCACAGAGAGGUUAAGUAACUCCCCUCCUAAGGUCUCUCAGCAAGGAAGCCACUGAGCCGUGGGACUUGAGCUCAGGGACUCUUGAUCCCCAGUCUCAGGUGUCACAGCCCCAUCUGGGCUCCUGCUAGGGAGGAGGAAGGCAGCAGGGGGUGUCUGAGGCCAGGGUGCAUCAGCCCUAAAUGCCAGACAGAGGCAGGAGAAGUCUCCCCAUGAGUCCCAGCCCCAUUAGAGGCUCCAGGUCGGGGAUCCCAGACCCCCUAUCCUUGCUGGGAGACACAACCCAGAACUCUGCAUCCCUGCAGCCACCAAAAAAGGCAAAAGCUGCCCAGAAACACUUUCUCCUCUUCCGUGGCCAAAUCCACGAACUUUCUCGAGGUCUGUCCCCCUGCCCCGUGCAGGUCCAGCUUCAGUGCAGCCCAGCUCUGUGCAGUUUUCCACAAAAGCCUGUGGCUUCCUUCUCCUCCCUCUGCUUCUGAUACCCCAGGAGUUACACACAAAAUGUUGGCGGUGGUCUCCAGGAAGACCCCUGCAUCCCACAGCUCUCCCCAGAAGUUGCCAGCAGUGACCUCCUGAGCCCAGGUGGGGAGUCCCAGGCAGGACAGGGGCUGGGGCUGCAGGCCCUGGGGCCCUGUUAGUGAAGCAGCAAGCCGAGGGUCCCUGAGAGUUUCCCUUGGCCCCUCUGAGGGCUGCCCUUUGAGGUCUUGAGGUCUUGGAGUAUCCAUCGCCCCCACGGCUUACUGUCCCCACCAGCGGAGGAUGAAAGUGCCACAGCGAUGUUCCACGCCAAGAGACCACAGAGACCACCAACCCCUCUUCCCACCUCAGGCUUUCAGAGGCCAGCGGAUUUAGGCGGACAGGCUGUGCGCUUGAGGGCAGCCAGGGCGGUCAGUGGAGGGACGUGGUCCGGGGCCUGGCCACAGCUCCCCACCCAGGGCCCUGGGCUAUUGU
Molecule: long non-coding RNA, 3555 nt
Filed under: Homo sapiens (human)
Lineage: Eukaryota; Metazoa; Chordata; Mammalia; Primates; Hominidae
Description: HSALNT0290873
Source: RNAcentral